AAUCCUGGCUCAGGAUGAACGCUAGCUACAGGCUUAACACAUGCAAGUCGAGGGGCAGCAUGGUCUUAGCUUGCUAAGGCUGAUGGCGACCGGCGCACGGGUGAGUAACACGUAUCCAACCUGCCGUCUACUCUUGGCCAGCCUUCUGAAAGGAAGAUUAAUCCAGGAUGGGAUCAUGAGUUCACAUGUCCGCAUGAUUAAAGGUAUUUUCCGGUAGACGAUGGGGAUGUCG
This 232-nucleotide ribosomal RNA is filed under the name uncultured bacterium. RNAcentral's name for it is "partial 16S ribosomal RNA". It matches the Rfam family "Bacterial small subunit ribosomal RNA", at positions 15 to 235 of the family's 1533-position model. The record is from RNAcentral.